UCAACCAGGAAUGGAAGCCUGUUGAGGAGC
Molecule: non-coding RNA, 30 nt
Filed under: Rattus norvegicus (Norway rat)
Lineage: Eukaryota; Metazoa; Chordata; Mammalia; Rodentia; Muridae
Source: RNAcentral